Molecule: ribosomal RNA, 465 nt
Filed under: uncultured bacterium
Lineage: Bacteria
Description: partial 16S ribosomal RNA
Rfam family: Bacterial small subunit ribosomal RNA
Source: RNAcentral
GACGAACGCUGGCGGCGUGCUUAACACAUGCAAGUCGAACGGAAAGGCCCUGCUUGCAGGGUACUCGAGUGGCGAACGGGUGAGUAACACGUGGGUGAUCUGCCCUGCACUUCGGGAUAAGCCUGGGAAACUGGGUCUAAUACCGGAUAGGAGCCAUUUUUAGUGUGAUGGUUGGAAAGUUUUUUCGGUGUAGGAUGAGCUCGCGGCCUAUCAGCUUGUUGGUGGGGUAAUGGCCUACCAAGGCGGCGACGGGUAGCCGGCCUGAGAGGGUGGACGGCCACAUUGGGACUGAGAUACGGCCCAGCCUCCUACGGGAGGCAGCAGUGGGGAAUAUUGCACAAUGGGCGCAAGCCUGAUGCAGCGACGCCGCGUGGGGGAUGACGGCCUUCGGGUUGUAAACUCCUUUCGCUAGGGACGAAGCUUUUUGUGACGGUACCUAGAUAAGAAGCACCGGCUAACUACGUG